This 860-nucleotide long non-coding RNA is filed under the name Fukomys damarensis (Damara mole-rat). RNAcentral's name for it is "lncRNA (ENSFDAG00000026004.1)". Lineage: Eukaryota; Metazoa; Chordata; Mammalia; Rodentia; Bathyergidae. The record is from RNAcentral.
GCCCGGAAUCCACAUUCUACCGCCUAAAGAAAUCAAGCAGAGGAUGAAACGUUUCAAAGCAUUAAAGCUAUUUAAAAGCUUUGCCCCCACCGAUCCAAAGAAGGAAGUAGCAGAAUGCAGGAGUGAAUUGAGUAGCGUGACAGCAUUUCAGAGCUGGAAGGGGCCUCUGUGAACACUGAUAGCUGCCUUCCUCUGUGAAAGAUGAGGAAAUGGUGGCUCGGGGAGGUGAAAUGAUUUGCUCGAGGUCAUAUGGUGUCCAAGGCCAUGCCAGGUGGGAGCUGUCCUCCCUUGCCACGUGCUGUUCCACCAAUUCUUGAUGCAGUCAGUGCCGCAGGGAGGCGUCCAUCUUCCUGCCUCCUUUGGAACUUGGUGCCGGGCACAAGGGUGGAGAGGCCAUGGGUCCGCGCAGAGGACCUCUUUCCCCAAGGCAAAGGGGGCUGAGAAGAGUUGCUGUGUUCCUGAAGCAUCCACGGGUCUGAGCUCACGUUUGCAGAGGAGAAAGGCAGCUAGCUCCUUGUCAAGACACCGGCUGCUGCCAGGACUGGCUUUGGAGGCACUGCAGAUAGACAAUGACAGAAGUUCUGGAAGACAAGGGAGGGGCUGCUGCUGGUGUGGGGUGUUUCUGUGGGGACUGCAGAAUGGUGUGGUGCAAGGCCUCAGAAGAGGGCCAGAGUCACUGAGAUGGUGAGUCUGAGGGAGGGGACAGAGUCCCCAGCUGCUUUCCUGGAGUGACUCUAGCACAGCCUCUGAGUGUAUUAGAGGAAAGGGCUGUGACAGUGAUGUGCUUGUGGGGUUUGCAGUGGGUUCUAGAACGUUGGUCCUUGUGAACCUCCAGUAUUUGCAGCAGACCCUAAUUUAGG